CCCGCCGUCCCCAGUCGCAGAGCUAGAGGCGGAGUGGCGCCCCCGGAGUCGUGCGGCGGCGACGGCAGUGCUGGCAACCAUGGAGAAGAUCCCGGCUCUGGGCCUGGGCACCUGGAAGGCAGCUCCGGGCGAGGUGACGGAGGCAGUGAAAGUGGCGAUAGACGCGGGGUUCCGGCACUUUGACUGCGCUUACUUGUACCACAACGAGAGUGAGGUCGGAGCCGGGAUCCAGUGCAAGAUCAAGGAGGGCGUGGUGACCCGGCAGGACCUGUUUGUCGUCAGUAAGCUCUGGUGCACCAGACAUGAGAAGUCCUUGGUGAAGGCGGCCUGCACCAAGAGUCUCAAGGCCUUGAAGCUGGAUUACCUGGACCUCUACCUCAUGCACUGGCCCAUGGGCUUCAAGCCCGGGGAGGAAGACCUGCCCCUGGACCGCAACGGCAUGGUGCUGCCCAGCGACACGGACUUCCUGGACACGUGGGAGGCCAUGGAGGACCUGGUGGUCACGGGGCUGGUGAGAGCCAUCGGGGUGUCAAACUUCAACCACCAGCAGCUCGAGAGGCUUUUGAAUAAACCCAACCUGAGGUUCAAGCCACUGACGAACCAGGUCGAGUGCCACCCGUAUCUUACCCAGAAGAAUCUGAUCAACUUUUGCCAAUCCAGAGAUGUGACCGUGACAGCCUACCGGCCCCUCGGCGGUUCCAGUGAGGGGGUAGCCCUCCUGGAUGACCCUGUGAUUCAGAGGAUCGCACAGAAGUACAACAGGUCUCCCGCCCAGAUUGUGAUCCGAUUUCAGAUCCAGAGGAAUGUGAUUGUGAUCCCCAAAUCUGUCACCCCAACACGGAUCCGUGAGAAUAUCCAGGAAAGGGUUCUUUUCUUCUUUUAUUCGGAGGGUUUGGGAUCACACGGUAGUCAGCUGGGGGUCUGACCACCGCACAAGCAGGCCCUGUGUGGCUUUGACGCAGCAGAGGGGCCGGGUGGAGCUGCGGCCACAGCACGAGGAACCCCAGGGUGUGACAGGCACGAACCCAGCCCGGGAUCCGGCGAACAGGAGGUCCCAAACAGCCGGGGUGCCGGCCAGAGGCUCGCAGGGCUGUGCCCCCGAGCCGAGUGCCUGGUCCCCAAGUCUCAGGACCGCUGCGCCCGGCUGCCUGGAUUCGUGGGGCCCUUCCAGAACCGAAGGCCGCCCUCCAGUCAGAGCCUCUGCUGACACCGAGCCCUUGGUUUCUGCUAGACCGGGUGGAGGGUCUCCUGUGGGUAGAGGCCGGGCCCGGCCGGUCCCCUCCCGGGAGUCGCUGCACCCUCCCUCCCGGCUCCUCAGCUGGGGACCGGGGCUGGCUCUCCUGUGAGAACAGAUCGUGUUUCAGGAGUGGGGGUCAUAGUCCUCACGGGUAUUAGGAGCAAAGGGGGUGCAGCUUAGAAUUCUGCUUUAUGAGGAAAGAAACAAGAAUUACACUGUGUUAUGGCUACCGUCAGAGCCAGUGGUCCCGGGGACCCAGUGUCCGAGCUGGGAGGGCGUGGGGCACGAAUGUUUUUGGUUUUUCACUUUUAUUUGGUUUUGGAGGGGUUUUUUGGUGUUUUUCAUUUUUUGGGGGGGGUUCUUUUUUUGUGUUUUUUGUUUUGUUUUGUUUUUGAGCGACGGGAAAAAUUCUUUGCUCACCUCCCACCUCUUGAUUCCAGCUCGUCCCUUAUUCCCCUCGGUGGGGGGGACUGCAGUACACGUCCUGUCUUUGCAGGGGCUCUCACCCAGCCCGGGGCAGCCAGCGUCAGGCACAGGGUCACAGCCGCAGUUCCCGGAGGAAGGCUGAUGAUCCGGGGAAGUUGCAGGUGCCGCGUGCAGUGUUUCUUCUGCAUCUUGUGUCCCCGGCAGGUGUUUGACUUUGAAUUAUCAGAAAGGGACAUGAACGACAUCCUCGACCUGGACAGGAAUUUCCGAAUGUGCACCUUGCCCACAGCUAAAAACCACAAGGACUAUCCUUUCAACAUAGAAUACUGAGCACGGCCUCCCUCUUCCCCCCCCUGCCUGGCCCAACGGGUCCAUGAGGCCCGAGCCGAGGCAGGGCUCUGCCAGGGAGGUGGGGGCGACCGGCUUUGACUUGGGUGGAUUCCUGCCUGGAACAGAGCUGCGCUCCCUGAGAGGUCCACACAGUUCCGGUGGUGGGUGAUGGGAAGGGAGCCGCCCUGGGAGCGGUGCUCGCUCUCUGUGGAGAACCCCCCAGUCCUACGGCUCCUUUGAGCACAGUGUGACAGGAUUUUGAGCAGACAGGCUGUGUGGCGGGCCUCUACCCUCGGAAAAAAGGUUGUAUUAUGGAAAUAUUUAAAUACAGGAUUUGAGACCAUAGCACGAGUCUCUACAUGUGUCACCCAGCCCCGCUUGAGACCCUGGGCCGGCCUCCCGCCAUCUGUGUGGCUCUGUUCCCUCAAUCCCCCCAGAUGGUUUUAAAGCAAAAUCUUUACGUUCACACGUGCAGAGACAAGCUGGGUGAAGGCGGGAGAGGGUCUCAGUUCAACACAGAGGCUUUUCUUACUUAAAUACGGCUGUGGGAACCCCAAGCAGAGAGGACACGUGGGUCAUUGCCCUCCUGCGCUCAGCGUCCGGGGUCCGUCCAGUGGGCUCGCUCAGGGCUGUGUGUGACUCGUGUCCUCUCUGCUCACCGGAUGGCACUCGAGCACUAUGCUUUGCGCCAUUGUCUUAAAAAUCUGCUACAAGUUAUUAUGUUCCACGAAAAAGGUUCAUUUUCAUGAAUGAAUGGCAGGAUGUUUCCCUGUUUAUGUUAAAGGAAAGAAAAGUUCACCAUAUAGGCUAAUAGUGCUUUCUACUGAUACUUACCGAAUUUUGCUAUUUAAUGAAGUAAUUCUACCGGAUUCAGAAUGUAAAGAAAACUGAGAAAAGCUCAAUUAUAACAAGUAAAAAUGGCCUAAACUA
Molecule: RNA transcript, 2923 nt
Organism: Prionailurus viverrinus (fishing cat)
Lineage: Eukaryota; Metazoa; Chordata; Mammalia; Carnivora; Felidae
Gene: AKR1E2
Gene name: aldo-keto reductase family 1 member E2
Exons: 10
Source: RefSeq, a predicted model, not a curated record